Molecule: long non-coding RNA, 2382 nt
Organism: Equus caballus (horse)
Lineage: Eukaryota; Metazoa; Chordata; Mammalia; Perissodactyla; Equidae
Source: Ensembl
CGGGCCUUCCCGGCCAGUGUCUACGCCCCGCGCCUGGGGAACUGCUGUUCCCCGGGCUGAGAUCCUAGGAAGAGCCAGGCCGUCCACCCCCGAGCCUCGCGAACGUCCGGGCCCAGAAAUGAGGAAGCGGCAGCGGGGCCUGGUAAGAAACUUAAAGCUGAAGCCGGACGUGGAUGGAAACCUAGCUGCGAAAUCACUGGCUCUGUGACUUCGGGCAGGUCACUUCUCUGAGCCUCAGUUUCCUUGUAUUCCUUAUAAAUCGGGGAUAACAGCACCUGCAUUGAAGCAUUGUUGGGAAGAUUAUUUUAAAAGAAAAAAAAAAGGCACUGGCGUGGCACAUAGUAGUUCCUCAAAGACUUCUUGAAUUAAUGCAUACUAAAAGAGCAUUGUCCCAGACGCCUGUCAGCCGUGAGUGCAGCAGGGGCAGCAUGAAAGAGGAGAAACACAGUUCACAUCCUGCUCUGAUACGUUCGAGCUGUUUGGGCAUAGGCGGAUCCCAGCCUCUUAAUUACAGUUUCUUCACGGAGAAAUAGGAAUAAUGAUCUUUGUCUCUCAGGGAUGGAAGAGAGUUUAAAUUCCCGGUGGACGGCACCGAGGAAGGUGUUUAACCUGUUCUACCAUGUCCUUCUGCCCCUGUGCCAUGUGCAUGCCAUUCCAAAGAGCAUCGCCAGCAACCAAAAUGCCAGAAGCCCGGGGUACUGAUGGUGGGAGGAGACCAACAUCACAAGAGCAAACAGUAGGAGAAGCCCCAGCCAAUGUGAAGAAUUAGCUGGGAGCUAGGUAGUCCCAGGAGAAAAAGACAAGAAAAUGAGGCUAAUCUGAGUUGAAUUAAAAGUCUUCAGGGGCUUUCCAUUGCCAUCAAGAUAACAUCCAGACUCCUUAAUGUGUUUUUAGUUUUAGUGCAGUUAAAAAUCUGUUAACCUUUUUCCUCUAUAGCAUCUCACUUUCCUGUUGGGCAUAGAAAGACCCACCUCACAAGUUGUAAAAACGUAAGACGCCAAAAAUACAAUCAACUAAGUUAAGUGAUGCUUGAAACAUAUACAUUAUCAAUGACAAAGCAUUAGUUAGUAUCCACAAUAUACAAAAAGUUUGCAUGAAUCGAUAAGAAAAAAAUACAAAAAUUGCAGAAGAGAUGGAACCGCAAAUUCUAGAACAGAAAGAUAAACAAAAUGGUAAACAAAUAUGUGGAAAGAUUCCCAAAUCACUAAAAAUUAAUGAUAUUGAGAUUUUUAAUGACGUAUUUUUUACUGAUUAAAUUGGCAAACAUUUAAAAUACAGUUACAACCAAUGUUAGAAAGGAUAUGGGAAAAAAGGCAUUUGUAUCCACUGUUGAUGGAAGUGAAUAUUAGUCCAGCUUUUGGAAGACUGGCGAUUUGGCAGUAUUCAUCAGAAUUUUAAUAUAUGUUUAGUUGUAUACUCUUUGACCUAGAAAUUCCAAUUUUAGGAAUUCUAUAGAAAUUCUCUCAGAUAAACAAAGAUAUAUGUCCAACAGCACUGAAAGCAGUAUUUCUAAUAAUGAAAAAUUGGGAAUAAUAUGAAUGUUUAUUAGGAGAGCUCUGGUUGGCUAAAUUCAAGUUCACCAAUUUAAUGAAAGAGUAUUUACCUAUUCAAAGGGAUAAGGUGCAUCUGUGUGUGCUGACCUGGAAAUGUGUACAUGAUACAUUAAAUGAAAACUGCAAGUUACGCAACUGUUUGUGGAGCCAGGUACCUGAAGGGUACCAUAAAUAUUAAACCAAUUUGCUGUUUUUCCUGUUUCACUUGUGGGUUGACUCAGGGGUCUGGAGGAUUUGUGAGCUUGUUUUCCGGAGGAUUCUCGAGCUUGUUUUGCAGAAGGAAGAGAAGGCCUUCGGGAGAUUGCCAUCACCCGUCACCGGUUGGCGGCCCUCAGCAGCUACUGAAGCCUGGCAGUCCCGCUGCCCAGGGGCUUGUCGGGAGUGACCUCUUUGUUUCCCUGAAGCCCCUCCUGCCAAGCCCCUUAGCUCCAUAAAACACCCCCUGCUUUCUGUUCUGGGGGAGCAGAUUUGAGGGAACCCAGGCUCCCACCUACUCUGUUUGGCCAAUUCUUAGAAAUCUUCGUCUCCAAGCACUGAUGUCGCAGCGUUAGGCUUCCGGUGCAUCGGGCACAUGAACUUGAGAUAAAGGGGUUCAGUGUCAUUUGUAUAGUGUGAUCUUUUUAAAAAAAAUUUGUGUGGAGGCCAGCCCCGUGGCCAAGUGGUUAAGUUCGCAUGCUCCACUUUGGCGGCCCAGGGUUUUGCCAGUUCGGAUCCUGGGGGUGAACAUGGCACUGCUCAUCAAGCCAUGCUGAGGUGGCGUCCCACAUGCCACAACCAGAAGGACCCACAACUGAAAAUACACAACUAUGUACCCGGGGGCUUUGGGGAG